AGAAGUUCAAGCCUUCUUGUUGACCGAGGGGCAUUAUAAACAAGGGGCUGCUAA
Molecule: transfer RNA, 54 nt
Filed under: Tiliqua rugosa (stump-tailed skink)
Lineage: Eukaryota; Metazoa; Chordata; Lepidosauria; Squamata; Scincidae
Description: tRNA-His
Source: RNAcentral